RNAcentral lists this ribosomal RNA (2779 nucleotides) under Catharanthus roseus (Madagascar periwinkle). RNAcentral describes it as "eukaryotic LSU rRNA". It matches the Rfam family "Eukaryotic large subunit ribosomal RNA", at positions 537 to 3379 of the family's 3401-position model. Lineage: Eukaryota; Viridiplantae; Streptophyta; Magnoliopsida; Gentianales; Apocynaceae. The record is from RNAcentral.
UUUAGGUAUGCUCACAGAGAUACCGACACCACGAUCAUAGAGGGACAGCACGCCAUCGAUGUGCUUCGGCAUCUGCGCAUUCUCGGUACUAGCCUACGGGCUCCCAUUUCAACCUAUCUUGAAGCACAGACCAAGGAGUUUGACAUGUGUGCGAGUUAACGGGUGAGUAAAACCAUAAGGCACAAAUAAGCUAAUCGGCGGGAUCCCCUUGAGGGGUGCACCAUUGACCGACUUUGAUCUUUUGAGAAGGGUUCGAGUGUGAGCAUACCUGUCGGAACCCGAAAGAUGGUGAACUAUGCCUGAGCGGGGCAAAGCUUGAGGAAACUCUGGUGGAGGCCCGCAGCGAUAUUGAUGUGCAAAUCAUUCGUCUGACUUGGGUAUAGGGGCAAAAGUCUAAUCGAAUUGUGUAGUAGCCGAUUCUCUCCGAAGUUUCCCUCAGGAUAGCUGGAGCUCGCGUCGAGUUCUAUCGAGUAAAGCCAAUAAUUAGAGGCAUCAAGGGUGCAACGUCCUCGGCCUAUUCUCAAACUUUACAUAAGUAGGAUAAGGGGGCUGCUUUGUUGAGCCGUCUCACGGAAUCAAGAGAUCUAAGUGGGCCAUUUUUGGUAAGAAGAAUUGGAGAUACGGGAUGAACCAGAAAUCAGGGUACGAUGCCCAAUUAUGCACUAACCUUGAUACCACAAGGGGUGUUGGUUGAUUAAGAUAACAGGACAGUGGUAAUGGAAGUCGAAAUCCGCUAAAGAGUGUGUAACAACUCACCUAUUGAAUCAACUAGCCCUGAAAAUAGAUGGCACUCAAGUGUGCAAACUUUACCCAGCCAUCAGGCAAGUGUCGGGUCGGGCCCUAAUGAGUAGGAGGGUACGGUGGUCGCUGCAAAACCUAGGGCACGAGCCCGGGUGGAGCGGCCGUUAGUGCAAAUCUUGGUGGUAGUACCAGAUAUUCAAAUGAGAACUUUGAAGGCCAAAGAGGGGAAAGGUUCCAUGCGAACGACACUUAUACACGGGUUAGUCGAUCCUAAAGAUCGGGGAAAGCCAGACAGACCAGCGCGUUCUGCCCGUGCUCUGUAAGGGAAUCAGGUUAAAGUUCUUGAACCGGAACGUGGCAGCUGACGGCAACAUUAGGGAGUCCGGAGACAUUGGCGGGGGCCUAAGGAGAAGUUAUCUUUUCUGUUUAACAGCCAGCUCACCCUGCAAACAGCUCAGCCGGAGGUAGGGUCUAGCAGCUGGCAGAGCACCCUAUUCACGUGUUGUCCGGUGCACCCACGGUGNCCCUUGAAAAUUUGGAGGACCGAGUGCCCUUCAAGCCCGGUCGUAUUCAUAACCACAUCAAGUCUCCAAGGUGAACAACCUCUGGUCAAUGGAAUAAUGUAGGUAAGGGAAGUCGGCAAAAUAGAUCUGUAACCUCGGAAAAAGGAUUAGCUCUGAGGACUGGGCAUGGGGUCCCAGUCUUGAACCUGCCGGCUAUUGGUAGAUUGCUCGAGUUGCUCCCGCAGCGAAAGCGGGUCACCGCAUGUCGACCGGGGAUGAACUGGGAAUGGCCUCCUCGGGGUUCUUCCCCAAGCGUCGAAUAGCCAACUUAGAACUGGUAUGGACAAGGGAAUUUGAUUGUUUAAUUAAAACAAAGCAUUGCGAUGGUCCCUGCGGAUGCUAGCGUAUUAUGAUUUCUGCCUAUUGUUUUGAAUGUCAAAGUGAAGAAAUUCUACCAAGCGCGGGUAAACGGCGGGAGUAACUAUGACUCUCCUAAGGUAGCUAAAUGCCUCGUCAUGUAAUUAGUGAUGUACAUGAAUGGAUUAACGAGAUUCCCACUGUCCUUGUCUACUAUCCAGCGAAACCACAGUCAAGGGAACGAGCUUGGUAGAAUUAGCAGGGAAAGAAGACCUAAUUGAGCUUGACUCUAUUCGACUUUAUGAAAUGACUUGAGAGGUGUAGCAUAAGUGGUAGCCCUCGAGCGAAAGUGAAAUACAACUAUUUUCAACGUUAUUUUACUUAUUCCGUGAAUCAAAGGAGGGGCCUAUGCCCCACUUUUUGGACAUGAGACCGCCUUGGCAGCCAAUUCGGGCAGAAGACAUUGUUAGGUGGGGAGUUUGGCUAGGGAGGCACAUCUAUUAAAAGAUAACGCAACUGUCCUAAGAUGAUCUCAACGAGAAAAGAAAUCUCAUGUGGAACAAAUGGGUAAAAGCUCGUUUGAUUUUGAUUUCUAGUAUGAAUAUAAACUGUAAAAGUGUGGCCUAACGAUUCUUUAAACCUUCGUAAUUUGAAGCUAGAGGUGUUAGAAAAGUUACCACAGGGAUAACUGACUUGUGGUAACCAAGCGUUCAUAGCAUUGUUGCUUUUUUAUCAUGCAAUGUUGGCUCUUCCUAUUAUUAUGAAGUAGAAUUCACCAAGUGUUGGAUUGUUUACCCACUAAUAGGGAACGUGAGAUGGGUUUAGAUCGUCAUGAGAGAGGUUAGUUUUACCAUACUAAUGACAAUGUCGCAAUAUUAAUUCAACCUAGUACGAGAGGAACCAUUGAUUCCCACAAUUGGUCAUCGCGCUUGGUUGAAAAGCCAGUGGCGUGAAGUUACCGUGCAUUGGAUUAUGGAUGAAUGCCUCUAAGUCAGAAUUUAGGCUAGAAGCUAUGCCCAUCAUCCCUUUGCCAACCCGUUUGGCAGAAGUGCCAUGACGGCCGCCUUGAAGUACAAUUCCCAUCGAGCGGUGGUUAGAAUCCUUUGCAGAUAAAUUAAAUGUGCAAUGGGGUAUUAUAAGGGGCAGAGUGGACUUGCUGCCACUAUCCUCUGAGAUUU